Molecule: ribosomal RNA, 425 nt
Filed under: uncultured bacterium
Lineage: Bacteria
Description: partial 16S ribosomal RNA
Rfam family: Bacterial small subunit ribosomal RNA
Source: RNAcentral
GUGGGGAAUCUUAGACAAUGGGCGCAAGCCUGAUCUAGCCAUGCCGCGUGAGCGAUGAAGGCCUUAGGGUUGUAAAGCUCUUUCAGGGGGGAAGAUAAUGACGGUACCCCCAGAAGAAGCCCCGGCUAACUCCGUGCCAGCAGCCGCGGUAAUACAGAGGGGGCUAGCGUUGUUCGGAAUUACUGGGCGUAAAGCGCACGUAGGCGGACCAGAAAGUCAGGGGUGAAAUCCCGGGGCUCAACCCCGGAACUGCCUUGGAGACUCCUGGUCUUGAGGUCGAGAGAGGUGAGUGGAAUUCCGAGUGUAGAGGUGAAAUUCGUAGAUAUUCGGAGGAACACCAGUGGCGAAGGAGGCUCACUGGCUCGAUACUGACGCUGAGGUGCGAAAGCGUGGGGAGCAAACAGGAUUAGAAACCCUAGUAGUCC